GAGUUUGAUCCUGGCUCAGGACGAACGCUGGCGGCGCGCCUAACACAUGCAAGUCGAACGAGAGAGAGGGAGCUUGCUUCCUCAAUCGAGUGGCGAACGGGUGAGUAACGCGUGAGGAACCUGCCUCAAAGAGGGGGACAACAGUUGGAAACGACUGCUAAUACCGCAUAAGCCCACGGCUCGGCAUCGAGCAGAGGGAAAAGGAGCAAUCCGCUUUGAGAUGGCCUCGCGUCCGAUUAGCUAGUUGGUGAGGUAAUGGCCCACCAAGGCGACGAUCGGUAGCCGGACUGAGAGGUUGAACGGCCACAUUGGGACUGAGACACGGCCCAGACUCCUACGGGAGGCAGCAGUGGGGAAUAUUGCACAAUGGGGGAAACCCCGAUGCAGCGACGCCGCGUGGAGGAAGAAGGUCUUCGGAUUGUAAACUCCUGUUGUUGAGGAAGAUAAUGACGGUACUCAACAAGGAAGUGACGGCUAACUACGUGCCAGCAGCCGCGGUAAAACGUAGGUCACAAGCGUUGUCCGGAAUUACUGGGUGUAAAGGGAGCGCAGGCGGGAAGACAAGUUGGAAGUGAAAUCUAUGGGCUCAACCCAUAAACUGCUUUCAAAACUGUUUUUCUUGAGUAGUGCAGAGGUAGGCGGAAUUCCCGGUGUAGCGGUGGAAUGCGUAGAUAUCGGGAGGAACACCAGUGGCGAAGGCGGCCUACUGGGCACCAACUGACGCUGAGGCUCGAAAGUGUGGGUAGCAAACAGGAUUAGAUACCGUGGUAGUCCACACCGUAAACGAUGAUUACUAGGUGUUGGAGGAUUGACCCCUUCAGUGCCGCAGUUAACACAAUAAGUAAUCCACCUGGGGAGUACGACCGCAAGGUUGAAACUCAAAGGAAUUGACGGGGGCCCGCACAAGCAGUGGAGUAUGUGGUUUAAUUCGACGCAACGCGAAGAACCUUACCAAGUCUUGACAUCCCUUGACGAACAUAGAGAUAUGUUUUCUCUUCGGAGCAAGGAGACAGGUGGUGCAUGGUUGUCGUCAGCUCGUGUCGUGAGAUGUUGGGUUAACUCCCGCAACGAGCGCAACCUUUAUUGUCAGAUACUACGCAAGAGGAGUGUCGCAGGACUGCGGUUUCCGAGACGGAGGAAGGUGGCGCAUGAUGUAGGAUGAUGAUUCUGUUUAUUAGGUGAGGAGAGAGACGCAAUAGCAAUUGGGGGUAAGUCACCGUGGACGACGAACUGUUGGGGCGGCUGAAGGAUAUCCCCUCCCCAUGGUCAGUCUUCGAGAGGGAUCGAGUGCUAUCCUAGAGUAAACAAAGCUAUCAUAUAUGCUCCUUGUGGAGAGUGACAUGUUGUGAGGCCCGAAAUCACAGCUUUGGGUACCUGAAGACAAAGAUCCAGUGUUU
This 1397-nucleotide ribosomal RNA is filed under the name uncultured bacterium. Its description in RNAcentral is "partial 16S ribosomal RNA". It matches the Rfam family "Bacterial small subunit ribosomal RNA", at positions 9 to 1280 of the family's 1533-position model. The record is from RNAcentral.